ACCUUUACCUUUUUUAGCUCUGUUGGUUAGAAGGUGGUGCUGAGAAUGCCAGGGUUGCAGGUUCGAUCCCCGUUUGGGGUA
Molecule: non-coding RNA, 81 nt
Organism: Podarcis lilfordi (Lilford's wall lizard)
Lineage: Eukaryota; Metazoa; Chordata; Lepidosauria; Squamata; Lacertidae
Source: the annotation of a GenBank genome assembly